AAACCUGAGAAACCCGAAAGUUCGAAUGAAAAGAUUCAAUAUUCUUCAAUUGGUUGUACAUUUACUUUGUGAUUAUGUGAUAGUUUUGUGUUAAUUUCUUUAUCCUUCACUGGAUUUUGAAUGUACAUAUAUUCUACACCACUUUGUUUAUGAAUAAAUACAACUAUGAAGGUAUGCACUUCUUUUCUAGUAGGACGUUGCGACCCAUUGAAUGUUAAUCUACGGCUACUCGUUAGAGCCUAUUCCUAUUUUACUUAAUUGUAUUUAUGGGAAAUAGAUUUCUGAGUGUGUCCCGAAUAACUGUUCGAUGGUAUAUAUAAAACCAUAAUAUUGGAUCGCCACUUUGUCUGGGCAUUUGGUAUUCAUUCAAGUAUGUAAGGUAAUUUAAAUGUCAGGGGCUCUUGUACUGGCUUUGAAUCCUAACUACUGUUCGAGUGAAAUUUACUAUCAAAUAGUAUCCUUUUAUUGGUCAGCAACGCUGUUGCUUUGGGUACUUUCAGGAC
Molecule: ribosomal RNA, 503 nt
Filed under: Panorpodes paradoxus
Lineage: Eukaryota; Metazoa; Arthropoda; Insecta; Mecoptera; Panorpodidae
Description: partial 28S rRNA
Source: RNAcentral